This is a long non-coding RNA of Salvelinus namaycush (lake trout), 495 nucleotides long. RefSeq lists it as uncharacterized. The transcript has 2 exons. NCBI's taxonomy places the organism in Eukaryota, Metazoa, Chordata, Actinopteri, Salmoniformes, Salmonidae. The record is from RefSeq and is a predicted model, not a curated record.
UGGCAGAACACACACACACAGACAGGAACAGAUUUUAAUCAUUAACACACAAACUAAUCUGUAGACUAGAGGCAAAUCCAGGCUUGGGCACAUUCCACUGGUUCAGGGAACACAAGAGCUCUGACAGACAUUUCAGGAUGACAACUCAGCCUCAGGCCUAAAGAACCGUGGGAGCCAUCUUAUUAACUGACGCAUGAUUGUAAACAACGCCCCAAAACAGCUUUCUCUACACUUUUGUAUUUAUUUGGAAAACACUACUGAAGGAAAAGUAUUGCUUUGCGGUUUAGGCCAGGAAUACUAUUUGGCACUUUGACUGGGCUCUGGACAGUGAACUCCGUGAGGCCCGGCACAUAGAGCUGACCGCUACCAUCUGGAUUCAUCUUGAUGUCCAGCUUCUCACCCUGGUUGUCCCCCAAAAGGUUCCUACAGGAAACAGCAACGCACAGUCACAAAGAUUGUCCCACUCAAAUAAAAAUAAAAAAAUUCUUAAAAUGA